AGUGUAAGGGACACGCGGUGAACUGAAACAUCUCAGUAGCUGCAGGAAGAGAAAACAAAUGUGAUUCCCAUAGUAGCGGCGAGCGAAAUGGGAAGAGGCCAAACGAUCAUGCUUGCAUGAUCGGGUUGUAGGACUCAAGAAUGGACGAUUGUUGUUAGUUGAACACGUUGGAGAGCGUGGCCAAAGAAGGUGACAGCCCUGUAGGCGAAAACAACAUGAACCAAUGAGGAUCCUGAGUACGGCGGAACACGAGAAAUUCCGUCGGAAUCAGCCGGGA
Molecule: ribosomal RNA, 277 nt
Filed under: Dolosigranulum pigrum
Lineage: Bacteria; Bacillati; Bacillota; Bacilli; Lactobacillales; Carnobacteriaceae
Description: partial 23S ribosomal RNA
Rfam family: Bacterial large subunit ribosomal RNA
Source: RNAcentral